UCUCCGUUGGUGAGCCAGCGGAGGGAUCAUUACAGGAUCGAAAGACUCCUAUAACCCCUGUGAACUUACUACAAAUACGUUGCUUCGGCGGGUGCCCCGGGUCUCCCGGGGCGUUCAGCCCGCCGGCAGCCUUCAAAUUCUGUUUCUUUGCGUUGGCAUCUCGAGUAUACAAAAAUAAGUUAAAACUUUCAACAACGGAUCUCUUGGUUCUG
This 212-nucleotide unclassified non-coding RNA is filed under the name plant metagenome. RNAcentral's name for it is "partial contains small subunit ribosomal RNA, internal transcribed spacer 1, and 5.8S ribosomal RNA". The record is from RNAcentral.